GACGAACGCUGGCGGCGUGCCUAAUACAUGCAAGUUGAGCGAUGAAGAUUGGUGCUUGCACCAAUUUGAAGAGCAGCUAACGGGUGAGUAACGCGUGGGGAAUCUGCCUUUGAGCGGGGGACAACAUUUGGAAACGAAUGCUAAUACCGCAUAACAACUUUAAACAUAAGUUUUAAGUUUGAAAGAUGCAAUUGCAUCACUCAAAGAUGAUCCCGCGUUGUAUUAGCUAGUUGGUGAGGUAAAGGCUCACCAAGGCGAUGAUACAUAGCCGACCUGAGAGGGUGAUCGGCCACAUUGGGACUGAGACACGGCCCAAACUCCUACGGGAGGCAGCAGUAGGGAAUCUUCGGCAAUGGACGAAAGUCUGACCGAGCAACGCCGCGUGAGUGAAGAAGGUUUUCGGAUCGUAAAACUCUGUUGGUAGAGAAGAACGUUGGUGAGAGUGGAAAGCUCAUCAAGUGACGGUAACUACCCAGAAAGGGACGGCUAACUACGUG
Molecule: ribosomal RNA, 497 nt
Filed under: uncultured bacterium
Lineage: Bacteria
Description: partial 16S ribosomal RNA
Rfam family: Bacterial small subunit ribosomal RNA
Source: RNAcentral